This 440-nucleotide ribosomal RNA is filed under the name uncultured bacterium. RNAcentral describes it as "partial 16S ribosomal RNA". It matches the Rfam family "Bacterial small subunit ribosomal RNA", at positions 338 to 795 of the family's 1533-position model. The record is from RNAcentral.
CCUACGGGAGGCAGCAGUGGGGAAUAUUGCACAAUGGGGGAAACCCUGAUGCAGCGAUGCCGCGUGAGUGAAGAAGUAAUUCGUUAUGUAAAGCUCUAUCAGCAGGGAAGAAAAUGACGGUACCUAAGUAAGAAGCCCCGGCUAACUACGUGCCAGCAGCCGCGGUAAUACGUCGGGGGCAAGCGUUAGCCGGAUGUACUGGGUGUAACGGGAGCGUAGACGGCAGUGCAAGUCUGGAGUGAAAGGCGGGGGCUCAACCCGCGGACUGCUCUGGAUACUGUACGGCGUGAGUGCAGGAGAGGUAAGUGGAAUUCCGGGUGUAGCGGUGAAAUGCGUAGAGAUUAGGAGGAACACCAGUGGCGAAGGCGGCUUACUGGACUGUAACUGACGUUGAGGUUCGAAAGCGUGGGGAGCAAACAGGAUUAGAUACCCGGGUAGUC